RNAcentral lists this ribosomal RNA (820 nucleotides) under Eimeria sp. RNAcentral describes it as "SSU rRNA". It matches the Rfam family "Eukaryotic small subunit ribosomal RNA", at positions 201 to 1023 of the family's 1831-position model. Lineage: Eukaryota; Apicomplexa; Conoidasida; Eucoccidiorida; Eimeriidae. The record is from RNAcentral.
CUGUGUUUAUUAGAUACAAAACCAACCCACUUUGUGUGGAGUCCUGGUGAUUCAUAGUAACCGAACGGAUCGCAAUUGGCUUCGGCCCGCGAUAGAUCUUUCAAGUUUCUGACCUAUCAGCUUUCGACGGUAGGGUAUUGGCCUACCGUGGCAGUGACGGGUAACGGGGAAUUAGGGUUCGAUUCCGGAGAGGGAGCCUGAGAAACGGCUACCACAUCUAAGGAAGGCAGCAGGCGCGCAAAUUACCCAAUGAAAACAGUUUCGAGGUAGUGACGAGAAAUAACAAUACAGGGCAUUUUAUGCUCUGUAAUUGGAAUGAUGGGAAUGUAAAACCCUUCCAGAGUAACAAUUGGAGGGCAAGUCUGGUGCCAGCAGCCGCGGUAAUUCCAGCUCCAAUAGUGUAUAUUAGAGUUGUUGCAGUUAAAAAGCUCGUAGUUGGAUUUCUGCUGUGGUCAUCCGGUACCGCCCGUACGGGUGCGCACCUGGUAUGGCUGAGGCAUUCUUCCUGUAGCCGUCAGCGCUUAAUUGCGUGUGUGUGUUGCGGAACUUUUACUUUGAGAAAAAUAGAGUGUUUCAAGCAGGCUUGUCGCCCUGAAUACUUCAGCAUGGAAUAAUAGGAUAGGACCUUGGUUCUAUUUUGUUGGUUUCUAGGACCAAGGUAAUGAUUAAUAGGGACAGUUGGGGGCAUUCGUAUUUAACUGUCAGAGGUGAAAUUCUUAGAUUUGUUAAAGACGAACUACUGCGAAAGCAUUUGCCAAGGAUGUUUUCAUUAAUCAAGAACGACAGUAGGGGGUUUGAAGACGAUUAGAUACCGUCGUAA